ACGGAAGGCAGCAGUGGGGAAUAUUGCACAAUGGGCGAAAGCCUGAUGCAGCGACGCCGCGUGAGUGAAGAAGUUAUUCGUAAUGUAAAGCUCUAUCAGCAGGGAAGAAAAUGACGGUACCUGACUAAGAAGCCCCGGCUAACUACGUGCCAGCAGCCGCGGUAAUACGUAGGGGGCAAGCGUUAUCCGGAUUUACUGGGUGUAAAGGGAGCGUAGACGGCAAAGCAAGUCUGAAGUGAAAUCCCGGGGCUCAACCCUGGAACUGCUUUGGAAACUGUUUAGCUAGAGUGCAGGAGAGGUAAGUGGAAUUCCUAGUGUAGCGGUGAAAUGCGUAGAUAUUAGGAGGAACACCAGUGGCGAAGGCGGCUUACUGGACUGUAACUGACGUUGAGGCUCGAAAGCGUGGGGAGCAAACAGGAUUAGAUACCCUGGUA
RNAcentral lists this ribosomal RNA (434 nucleotides) under uncultured Clostridium sp. RNAcentral's name for it is "partial 16S ribosomal RNA". It matches the Rfam family "Bacterial small subunit ribosomal RNA", at positions 341 to 792 of the family's 1533-position model. Lineage: Bacteria; Bacillati; Bacillota; Clostridia; Eubacteriales; Clostridiaceae. The record is from RNAcentral.